RNAcentral lists this ribosomal RNA (407 nucleotides) under uncultured bacterium. Its description in RNAcentral is "partial 16S ribosomal RNA". It matches the Rfam family "Bacterial small subunit ribosomal RNA", at positions 30 to 526 of the family's 1533-position model. The record is from RNAcentral.
AUUGAACGCUGGCGGCAGGCCUAACACAUGCAAGUCGAGCGGAGCGGCGGACGCGUGCGUAAUGCCUAGGAAUCUGCCUGGUAGUUUGGGAUAACGUCCGGCAACGGGCGCUCAUACCGCAUACUAUCAGAUGAGCCUAGGUCGGAUUAGCUAGUUGGUGGGGUAAAGGCCUACCAAGGCGACGAUCCGUACCUUGUCUGAGAGGAUGAUCAGUCACACUGGAACUGAGACACGGGCCAGACUCCUACGGGAGGCAGCAGUGGGGAAUAUUGGACAAUGGGCGAAAGCCUGAUACAGCCAUGCCGCGUGUGUGAAGAAGGUCUUCGGAUGGUAAAGCACUUUAAGUUGGGAGGCGGUACCAACAGAAUAAGCACCGGCUAACUACGUGCCAGCCGCCGCGGUAAUUC